Molecule: ribosomal RNA, 460 nt
Filed under: Streptococcus pyogenes
Lineage: Bacteria; Bacillati; Bacillota; Bacilli; Lactobacillales; Streptococcaceae
Description: bacterial SSU rRNA
Rfam family: Bacterial small subunit ribosomal RNA
Source: RNAcentral
CCUACGGGGGCAGCAGUGAGGAAUAUUGGUCAAUGGGAGGAAUCCUGAACCAGCCAUGCCGCGUGCAGGACGACGGCUCUACGAGUUGUAAACUGCUUUUGUACCGGGGUAAAAUGCCUUACGUGUAGGGUUUUGAAAGUACGGUACGAAUAAGGAUCGGCUAACUCCGUGCCAGCAGCCGCGGUAAUACGGAGGAUCCGAGCGUUAUCCGGAUUCAUUGGGUUUAAAGGGUGCGUAGGUUGUUUUAUAAGUUAGCGGUGAAAUACCGAUGCUCAACAUCGGGGCUGCCGCUAAUACUGUAGGACUAGAGAUCGGAUGCAGCAGGCGGAAUGUGUAGUGUAGCGGUGAAAUGCAUAGAUAUUACACAGAACACCGAUUGCGAAGGCAGCUUGCUAGGCCGGAUCUGACACUGAUGCACGAAAGCGUGGGGAUCGAACAGGAUUAGAUACCCUUGUAGUCC